UACGUAGGCAGCAAGCGUUGUUCGGAAUUACUGGGCGUAAAGCGUGUGUAGGCGGUUGGGUAAGUCUGGUGUGAAAUCUCCCGGCUCAACUGGGAGGGUGCGCCGGAAACUGCCUGGCUAGAGUCUCGGAGAGGAAGGCAGAAUUCCCGGUGUAGUGGUGAAAUGCGUAGAUAUCGGGAGGAACACCAGUGGCGAAGGCGACUUCCUGGCCUGUUCUUGACGCUGAGGCGCGAAAGCUAGGGUAGCAAACGGG
RNAcentral lists this ribosomal RNA (253 nucleotides) under uncultured bacterium. Its description in RNAcentral is "partial 16S ribosomal RNA". It matches the Rfam family "Bacterial small subunit ribosomal RNA", at positions 524 to 776 of the family's 1533-position model. The record is from RNAcentral.